GAUGAACGCUGGCGGCGUGCCUAAUACAUGCAAGUCGAGCGAACAGACGAGGAGCUUGCUCUUCUGCCGUUAGCGGCUGACGGGUGAGUAACACGUGGAUAACCUUCCUCUUAUACUUGGAUAACUUCGUGAAACCGGAGCUAAUACCGGAUAAUAUAUUCAACCGCUUGGUUCAAUAGUUCAUGACGGUUUUGCUGUCACUUUUAGCCGGAUUCGCGACGCAUUAGCUAGUUGGUAAGGUAACGGCUUACCAAGGCAACGAUGCGUAGCCGACCUGAGAGGAUGAUCAGCCACACUGGAACUGAGACACGGUCCAGACUCCUACGGGAGGCAGCAGUAGGGAAUAUUGGGCAAUGGGCGAAAGCCUGACGGAGCAACGCCGCGUGAGUGAAGAAGGUCUUCGGAUCGUAAAACUCUGUUAUUAGGGAAGAACAGAUGUGGAAGUAAAUAUGCACGUCUUGACGGUACCUAAUCAGAAAGCAACGGCUAACUACGUG
This 497-nucleotide ribosomal RNA is filed under the name uncultured bacterium. RNAcentral's name for it is "partial 16S ribosomal RNA". It matches the Rfam family "Bacterial small subunit ribosomal RNA", at positions 28 to 507 of the family's 1533-position model. The record is from RNAcentral.